RNAcentral lists this long non-coding RNA (608 nucleotides) under Sinocyclocheilus anshuiensis. RNAcentral describes it as "lncRNA (ENSSANG00000029263.1)". The record is from RNAcentral. Lineage: Eukaryota; Metazoa; Chordata; Actinopteri; Cypriniformes; Cyprinidae.
CAGUGGUUCAAAAUACCAGCCACCAAUUGUAUUGAGCAAGAAGAUGACCUAUCUCUUGAGGAGUCAGUGUACAUUAUCAGAGAACUGGCUGCUGAACUGGACAGAGUGGUACAGGUAAACAUUUGGCCUUACAAUAUGAAUUUAAUAUGAAUUUAUCAGAAGUUCAAAUGAUCUACAUUAUGCCCACAGUCCAAGAAGUUAUCCUUGAUGACUCGGAAGAUUAAAAAUAAAGGAAGUAACGAAGAACAACAGUAUUAUAUUUUGCAGUGGGCAAAAGAUCUUGAGAACAUAAAGACAAAACAAAUGGACAAGAAAGAGACCUCCUCUGAGCAGUUGUCAAGUGAAAUGAAAUUUAACAAAGCAAAAAAAAUCUUGUCUGACUGGUUUUGGAAACUGAAAGAUCUGAAACAGAACUCAGUAUGUCCAAAGGGGGGAUGGGAAGAAACACUGAGGGAUCUUCACAAAGAGCGGAAGCAGGGAGAGUCCAGCAUGCUUCCAGUAAUGGACUGGAUGGUAUGGGCUGUUCUACAGUCAGAAUGCUCUGAGGUAAAGAAUACAAAAGUUGAUCAUAUAAUGAAAAUUAAAGUUGAAGAAACCAAAAGAUACAA